UGAUGCAUCUGAUGUAUAAAUCCAGUGGCAGAUCCGGGAAAGAGCUCUUAGUUCCGAUCCGUUUGUACGGGGAACAUGUGGUUGCAACCCCUCUUUAAUUGCCUGUUCGAUUUUUAUGUUUGCAGUGUCGAAAAGGGAGAUAGACAGCAGUUUUAUCAAGAAGUUAUGUGAAAGUUCUGCUAUACAUCCGACAGUCAGGAGUUAUUCUGAAGUACACAUGUCGACCAGAGGCAUAGAACAGAGAGGAGAGGUUUUGAAGUACCAGAUGCUUUUCUGAGAUUCCAAUUUGAACUAAAGAAAGCAAUAUAUAAAGAUAUGUAGGAGAAAUAAUCUAUAUGAAUAAAGUUA
RNAcentral lists this long non-coding RNA (348 nucleotides) under Mytilus galloprovincialis (Mediterranean mussel). Lineage: Eukaryota; Metazoa; Mollusca; Bivalvia; Mytilida; Mytilidae. The record is from RNAcentral.